GUGGGGAAUCUUAGACAAUGGGCGCAAGCCUGAUCUAGCCAUGCCGCGUGAUCGAUGAAGGCCUUAGGGUUGUAAAGAUCUUUCAGUGGGGAAGAUAAUGACGGUACCCACAGAAGAAGCCCCGGCUAACUCCGUGCCAGCAGCCGCGGUAAUACGGAGGGGGCUAGCGUUAUUCGGAAUUACUGGGCGUAAAGCGCACGUAGGCGGAUCGGAAAGUUGGGGGUGAAAUCCCAGGGCUCAACCCUGGAACUGCCUUCAAAACUCCCGGUCUUGAGGUCGAGAGAGGUGAGUGGAAUUCCGAGUGUAGAGGUGAAAUUCGUAGAUAUUCGGAGGAACACCAGUGGCGAAGGCGGCUCACUGGCUCGAUACUGACGCUGAGGUGCGAAAGCGUGGGGAGCAAACAGGAUUAGAAACCCCUGUAGUCC
This 425-nucleotide ribosomal RNA is filed under the name uncultured bacterium. Its description in RNAcentral is "bacterial SSU rRNA". It matches the Rfam family "Bacterial small subunit ribosomal RNA", at positions 354 to 796 of the family's 1533-position model. The record is from RNAcentral.